AUGUUGCACGAGGGUAUUACACAGUCCACCUACACAAGGCCGGUGCAUGAGGCCCUGCGUUGCAUGAGGUCCUUGCACGAGGCCCCACGUCGCACAGUGUCCAUCGCACGAUGCUGCAGCGCGUGGCACCAUCCCGUUGCACGCCGCUGGUGCACAAGUCCACGGCACCAAGCAGCGCGGCGCACGAGGCCCGAGCACAAGUCAUGGCGUGAGGGCAGCUGCUGCUCGCACGAGUCCGGUGCACGAGGCCCCGUGUUGCACGGAGCCAUGGCAUGUCUGUGUCUCUUGCACCUUUUGCAGCUGCCCCACGGCGUGUCACACAAGGUCCCGUGUUGCACAAGGUCCCGCGUCGCACAAGGUCCCACGUUGCACAAGGCCACUGUUGCACUGAAGCGGUCAUCCAUUGCACGAGGGCCUGUGGUUCCCUCCGUCCGCAGCUCUUGCACAUCCACGAGGAACUCACAGCGGGUGCACGAGGUCGCACGAGGGUCAAGCUUUGCACGGGGGGGUGUUGCUUACAGUGGUGCAUUGCACGAGGUCGCCCAGUUCACAAUGCUGUGCAUUGCACACUCGCACAGUCCCACCCUGCUCAUUGCACGAGUGCUGCCCUGCAAAAGGUGCGGCGUUGCACAAUGCCGUGCGUUGCACGAGUGCUUCUGGGUGAACACAGUGCAGCUCCCGUGCAAAGCCAUGAGUGUGUUGCAUCGGUGCGCACCCAAAGCUCCUUCGCUGCUGGAAAUGGUGCAUUGCACGAGGCCGGGAUUGCAAAAGCAAAGCACAGUGCAUUGCACAAGCGCUGCAGUACAAGGGCUGCUGCAUUGCAGAGGAUUGUGCGCUGCACAAGUCCUCCACCAUGCAUUGCACAAGUGCAAGAUCCAAGGCGUCGUGCAUUGCACAAGUGCUUCUUUGCAAAAGAGUGCAGUGCACAGCGCCGUGCAUUGCACGAGUCCACUGCAAAAUCCAUGGCGUUGUGCACUGCACCCCGCCGUGCAUUGCACAGCAGCGUGCGUUGCACAAGUCCUUCAAUGCAAAGCAAUGUGCACUGCGCAGCGUUGUACCUUGCACAACACCGUGCAUUGCACAAAUCCUUCAUUGCACCACAACGUGCAUUGCAUAGCACGGUACCUUGCACAGCAGUGUGCACUGCACAAGUGCUUCACUGCACCCCAGUGUGCAUUGCACAAGUGCUUCACUGCAACACAAACUACAUUGCAUAGCACUGUGCAUUGCACAAGUCCUGCAUUGCAUCACAAAGUGCAUUGCACAAGUCCUUCACAGCAAAACAAGGUGCAUUGCACGGCAUUGUGCCUUUGCGCAGCACCGUGCAUGGCACAAGUCAUUCACUGCAAAACUCAGUGCACUGCACAACACCGUGCUUUGCACGAGUGCUUCAUUGCAACGCAAAGUGCAUUGUACGGCAUUGUACAUUGCACAACACCGUGCACUGCACAAGUGCUUCGCUGCAACCUAGUGUGCAUUGCACAAGUGCGUUGACACAAAACGAUUUGCAUGGCAAAACACCGUGCAUUGCACAAGUCCUUCACUGCAACCCAAUGUGCACUGCACGGCAUUGUACCUUGCACAACACCGUGCAUUGCACAAGUCCUGCACUGCAACCCAAUGUGCAUUGCACAGCAUUGUACCUUGCACAACACUGUGCAUUGCACAAGUGCUUCAUUGCAUCACAAAGUGCAUUGCACGGCACCGUGCAUUGCACAAGUCCUUCACUGCAAAAGUGAGUGCAUUGCACAGCACCGUGCGUUGCACAAGUCCUUCAUUGCAACCCAAUGUGCACUGCACAAUGUUGCACCUCGCACAACACUGUGCAUCGCACAAGUCCUUCAUUGCAAAGCACCGUGCAUUGCACAGCGUCGUACCUUGCACAACACCGUGCAUUGCACAAGUGCUUCAUUGCAACACAAAGUGCACUACACAGUGUUGCACCUUGCACAACACCGUGCAUCACACAAGUCCUACACUGCAAAGCACCGUGCAUUGCACAAGUCCUUCAUUGCAAUGCAACGUGCAUUGCACAGCACUGUACCUUGCACAACACCGUGCAUUGCACAAGUGCUUCAUUGCAAAGCACUGUGCAUUGCACAGCAUUGUACCUUGCACAACGCCGUGCAUUGCACGAGUCCUUCAUUACAAAGCAGUGAGCAUUGCAGGGCACCGUGCAUUGCACAAGUCCUUCACUGCAAAAAGUGAGUGCACUGCACAGCACCGUGCAUUGCACAAGUGCUUCAUUGCAACCCCAUGUGCACUGCAGUGUUGCACCUUGCACAACACCGUGCAUUGCACAAGUCCUUCAUUGCAAAGCACCGUGCAUUGCACAAGUGCUUCACUGCACCACAAAGUGCAUUGCACAGCACCGUGCAUUGCACAAGUCCUUCACUGCAACCCACCGUGCAUUGCACAAGUCCUUCACUGCAAAGCAACGUGCAUUGCACGGCAUUGUACCUCGCACAGCACCGUGCAUUGCACAAGUCCUUCA
Molecule: long non-coding RNA, 2494 nt
Filed under: Numida meleagris (helmeted guineafowl)
Lineage: Eukaryota; Metazoa; Chordata; Aves; Galliformes; Numididae
Description: lncRNA (ENSNMEG00000006474.1)
Source: RNAcentral